AGGACAAGAAAUCCGCCAAGGAAAAUAUGAAGAUAUAACAAAAACAUUGAAAAUUACAAACCACAUACAUCUCUCCAAUCCCUAGAAAUCAAGAACCCGUUAACUGGAGCCAAAACCGAAAACCCAAAAAGAAGUUAAAUAUAAAACUAUAUCCCAAAUGGACGUUUUAACCUUCACAUUUAUCUUAAAAAAUCGUUGGUUU
RNAcentral lists this long non-coding RNA (202 nucleotides) under Actinidia chinensis (golden kiwifruit). RNAcentral describes it as "long non-coding RNA (ACHI_LNC000853)". Lineage: Eukaryota; Viridiplantae; Streptophyta; Magnoliopsida; Ericales; Actinidiaceae. The record is from RNAcentral.